RNAcentral lists this long non-coding RNA (415 nucleotides) under Volvox carteri. RNAcentral describes it as "long non-coding RNA (VCAR_LNC002840)". The record is from RNAcentral. Lineage: Eukaryota; Viridiplantae; Chlorophyta; Chlorophyceae; Chlamydomonadales; Volvocaceae.
UCAAAGGGCACGUGCACACAAGCAAGCACAGAUUAUCGAAACACGGUUAGGCCGCUCAAAACACACAUUAUGCGCACAUGUGCUCUCUCAAGCUGUUGCUGGGGGACCUGUGUGUCUGGGAUCUAAGCACCCUAAGCGCCAGGGCCGUGCUUUGGGAGACGUGGGGAGAGAAGCCCCACGGCCACCCAGAAUGCUGAGUGGAGUGUGGUGAUGCCGCCAUAAUGCCCACACCAAUCCUGCUACUAUCACUGCUACUACCAUUGCCAUUGCCACUGCUACUGCCACUCCCCCGCCGCCUCCGCUAGGUAUUCCAUGGUCUCCGAGACCCCCAGCGCCUGUUCGCGCUGGGCCCCCUGGCUGAGGAGCUGCUGCCGCUGCUGCUGGUGGGCCGUGACGGGUCCUUGGCGGGCGCCGG